AGCGAACGCUGGCGGCAGGCUUAACACAUGCAAGUCGAGCGGGCAUCCUUGUGGUGUCAGCGGCAGACGGGUGAGUAACGCGUGGGAACGUGCCCUUCGGUUCGGAAUAACUCAGGGAAACUUGAGCUAAUACCGGAUACGUGCGAGAGCAGAAAGGUUUAUCUGCCGAAGGAUCGGCCCGCGUCUGAUUAGCUAGUUGGUGAGGUUAUGGCUCACCAAGGCGACGAUCAGUAGCUGGUCUGAGAGGAUGAUCAGCCACACUGGGACUGAGACACGGCCCAGACUCCUACGGGAGGCAGCAGUGGGGAAUAUUGGACAAUGGGGGCAACCCUGAUCCAGCCAUGCCGCGUGAGUGAUGACGGCCUUAGGGUUGUAAAGCUCUUUUCUCCGGGACGAUAAUGACGGUACCGGAGGAAUAAGCCCCGGCUAACUACGUG
RNAcentral lists this ribosomal RNA (437 nucleotides) under uncultured bacterium. RNAcentral's name for it is "partial 16S ribosomal RNA". It matches the Rfam family "Bacterial small subunit ribosomal RNA", at positions 29 to 507 of the family's 1533-position model. The record is from RNAcentral.